RNAcentral lists this ribosomal RNA (534 nucleotides) under Mangeliidae gen. 1 sp. NP-2008. Its description in RNAcentral is "partial 12S ribosomal RNA". Lineage: Eukaryota; Metazoa; Mollusca; Gastropoda; Neogastropoda; Conidae. The record is from RNAcentral.
UACCAAAGAGUCAAAUUAUAUUUAUUGGUUAAAAGGUAGUUAGAUAUAUUUAUAGCUUUAAAAUUUUAUUAUAUAUAGGUAAAAUUUGUUUAUAAUUUAAUAUACUAAAGAAAGCUAAUUUGUUGAAGCUACGAAAUCUUUGAAAUAAACUGGGAUUGGAUACCCCACUAUUCUUAGAUUUAAACUUAAUUAGGUUUACCAGAGUACUAUGAACUAGGUUUAAAACUCAAAGAACUUGGCGGUGCUUUAUACCCUUUAGGGGAACCUGUCUCGUAAUCGACAAUCCACGUAGUACCUUACCUCCUUUUGUAAUCAGUUUGUAUACCGUUGUCGUCAGGUAACUCUUUAAGACUAAUAAGUUAGCUAAAAAGUAAUUUUACUUAUACGUCAAAUCAAGGUGCAACCUAUAAGGAGGAGAAGAUGGGUUACAAUUAAUAUUUAUAAUUACGGAUUUAUUAUAGUAAAUAGUAAUGAAGGAGGACUUAAAAGUAAAGUAUUAUAUAUAAAUUACUUGAAUAAGGCUCUUAAGCGCGC